RNAcentral lists this RNase P RNA (323 nucleotides) under bovine gut metagenome. RNAcentral's name for it is "Bacterial RNase P class A". It matches the Rfam family "Bacterial RNase P class A". Rfam says of the family: Ribonuclease P (RNase P) is a ubiquitous endoribonuclease, found in archaea, bacteria and eukarya as well as chloroplasts and mitochondria. Its best characterised activity is the generation of mature 5'-ends of tRNAs by cleaving the 5'-leader elements of precursor-tRNAs. Cellular RNase Ps are ribonucleoproteins. The record is from RNAcentral.
GAGUUGUCGCGGCCGAGAGGCUGAGGAAAGUCCGGGCAACGCAGAGCACCAUACUUCCUAACGGGAAGGCGCGCGCAAGCGUGACAGACAGUGCCACAGAAACGAUACCGCCCGCCCAGCGGGUAAGGGUGAAAACGCGAGGUAAGAGCUCACGCCGCCGUCAGCGAUGCCGGCGGGGGUAAACCUUAUGGGUUGAAAGACCAAAUAAACCGGGGCUUGAGGGCUGCUCGUCCGACCCGGAGGGUAGGUUGAUAGAGGCCUGCGGCGACGUAGGUCCGAGAUAAAUGACAACAUAAAACAGAACCCGGCUUACGGGUUUUCCU